RNAcentral lists this ribosomal RNA (468 nucleotides) under uncultured bacterium. RNAcentral's name for it is "partial 16S ribosomal RNA". It matches the Rfam family "Bacterial small subunit ribosomal RNA", at positions 28 to 507 of the family's 1533-position model. The record is from RNAcentral.
GACGAACGCUGGCGGCGUGCUUAACACAUGCAAGUCGAACGGAAAGGCCCUGCUUUUGUGGGGUGCUCGAGUGGCGAACGGGUGAGUAACACGUGAGUAACCUGCCCUUGACUUUGGGAUAACUUCAGGAAACUGGGGCUAAUACCGGAUAGGAGCUCCUGCUGCAUGGUGGGGGUUGGAAAGUUUCGGCGGUUGGGGAUGGACUCGCGGCUUAUCAGCUUGUUGGUGGGGUAGUGGCUUACCAAGGCUUUGACGGGUAGCCGGCCUGAGAGGGUGACCGGCCACAUUGGGCCUGCGAGACGGCCCAGUCUCCAACGGGAGGCAGCGGUGGGAAAUAUUGCACAGUGGGCGGGAGCGUGAGGCAGCAACGCCGCGUGCGGGAUGACGGCCUUCGGGUUGUAAACCGCUUUCGCCUGUGACGAAGCGUGAGUGACGGUAAUGGGUAAAGAAGCACCGGCUAACUACGUG